RNAcentral lists this ribosomal RNA (421 nucleotides) under uncultured bacterium. RNAcentral's name for it is "bacterial SSU rRNA". It matches the Rfam family "Bacterial small subunit ribosomal RNA", at positions 356 to 774 of the family's 1533-position model. The record is from RNAcentral.
AAGGAAUAUUGGUCAAUGGACGCAAGUCUGAACCAGCCAUGCCGCGUGGAGGAUGAAGGUCCUCUGGAUUGUAAACUUCUUUUAUCUGGGACGAAACACUUCUUUUCUAAGAGGCCUGACGGUACCAGAUGAAUAAGCACCGGCUAACUCCGUGCCAGCAGCCGCGGUAAUACGGAGGGUGCAAGCGUUAUCCGGAUUCACUGGGUUUAAAGGGUGCGUAGGUGGGUAUGUAAGUCAGUGGUGAAAUCCCCGAGCUUAACUUGGGAACUGCCAUUGAUACUAUAUAUCUUGAGUACCGUAGAGGGAAGCGGAAUAUGUCAUGUAGCGGUGAAAUGCUUAGAUAUGACAUGGAACACCAAUUGCGAAGGCAGCUUACUAUGCGGUGAUUGACACUGAGGCACGAAAGCGUGGGUAGCAAACA